Molecule: ribosomal RNA, 253 nt
Filed under: uncultured bacterium
Lineage: Bacteria
Description: partial 16S ribosomal RNA
Rfam family: Bacterial small subunit ribosomal RNA
Source: RNAcentral
UACGUAGGCAGCGAGCGUUGUUCGGAAUUACUGGGCGUAAAGAGUGUGUAGGCGGUGCUCUAAGUUCGGUGUGAAAUCUCCUGGCUUAACUGGGAGGGUGCGCCGGAAACUGGGGUGCUCGAGCGUGGGAGAGGAAAGCGGAAUUCCUGGUGUAGCGGUGAAAUGCGCAGAUAUCAGGAGGAACACCAAUGGCGAAGGCAGCUCGCUGGGACGGUACUGACGCUGAGACGCGAAAGCGUGGGGAGCAAACAGG